Helianthus annuus (common sunflower) is the source of this 784-nucleotide long non-coding RNA. RefSeq lists it as uncharacterized. The record is from RefSeq and is a predicted model, not a curated record. The transcript has 3 exons. Lineage: Eukaryota; Viridiplantae; Streptophyta; Magnoliopsida; Asterales; Asteraceae.
UACAAAAGUUAUUUGUUGGUGCUAUUGGGGAGGAUUGGAUGGUGCGGUUCCAACCUCCACCGCACCAUUACAUGAAUAUUUUCAAAAUGGCACCAUUAAAUGAUAGAUUGGCACCAAUUAAUCCAUUUGUUCUUUCUUAAACCUAAAACACCACACACAACACACAUACGGUGUAACAAAGAGAGAGAUGCGAGAGGGUUGAUGGCGGCGAUUAGGGAUGAGGGUUCACAGCGGUGGAGAUACUAUGACGUUAGGGUUUCUUUGAGGGGGUUGAUGGUGGCAACGUGAUCGGUACCAACAAAGAGUGAGGGUUCAUAUGCUAGAGGCGUUAACGGCAGAUAUCCAUACGUUCUAGGGUUCUAAUCUAACUCCGACGAAUCUACGGCGAGGAUCUUUUUUAACUUUCCGGUGAAGGUUCGGCAAACUCCAGCAAAGACUUGAGCCACAUAUCCAUAUAAGUGCCAAUCUACAAAGAACUUAGCAGAGGUCGAAGCUUCAGACAUCAAUCUGGUACCAAAGGAAUGGGGGGAUUGAAGAUGGUGAUACAGGAUUUGAGAUCUGGAUUGAAGCGAAGGAGCAGGGGAACAGGUGGCUCGCCGGCAAUUUUUUUUUACAAAUGGGUUUUAUAAAAGGUGCGGUCGGUUUUACUAAAUCAUGCGGUUCUCCACACCGCAUCACCAAACAUUCUAAUUUGUUGGUGCCCAGUUAGUUGGUGCGGUGUAAACAUAGCACUUUUAAAUUGAUUUCACCGCAGCUUCAAACAUUAUCUGUACUAGUGUAAAAA